RNAcentral lists this ribosomal RNA (484 nucleotides) under uncultured bacterium. Its description in RNAcentral is "partial 16S ribosomal RNA". It matches the Rfam family "Bacterial small subunit ribosomal RNA", at positions 30 to 507 of the family's 1533-position model. The record is from RNAcentral.
AUUGAACGCUGGCGGCAGGCCUAACACAUGCAAGUCGAGCGGAUGAAGGGAGCUUGCUCCUGGAUUCAGCGGCGGACGGGUGAGUAAUGCCUAGGAAUCUGCCUGGUAGUGGGGGAUAACGUCCGGAAACGGGCGCUAAUACCGCAUACGUCCUGAGGGAGAAAGUGGGGGAUCUUCGGACCUCACGCUAUCAGAUGAGCCUAGGUCGGAUUAGCUAGUUGGUGGGGUAAAGGCCUACCAAGGCGACGAUCCGUAACUGGUCUGAGAGGAUGAUCAGUCAAAGUGGAACGGAACACCGGCCCAGACCCCUAGGGGGGGAGGCAGGGGGGAUUUUUGAAGAAGGGGGGAAGGCUGGACCCCCCCUUGCGGGGGGUGGAAAGAGGGUUUUCUAUUUUAAAGCUAUUUUAAGUUGGGAGAAAGGACAAAAAUUUACUCCCUUUUUUUUUGCGCUUCCCAAAAAAAAUAGGCCCCGGCAAGUUUCGUC